This is a non-coding RNA of OM182 bacterium, 394 nucleotides long. The record is from Rfam. NCBI's taxonomy places the organism in Bacteria, Pseudomonadati, Pseudomonadota, Gammaproteobacteria.
GGGGACGACUGGUUUUGACAGCAAGGUCAGUGAAAUUGUAAGCAUACCAAGGAAUGAAAUUAUUCUUGUAAAACUUAUUUCAAACCUAUAAACGGCGAAGAUAACUACGCUUUAGCUGCUUAAUCCGAAAUCAAGUAAGAUUAGCCUCGGCUCACAAGGUGAGCAAGCUUUAUGUCCACGAAAAGCCUUGGUUUGCGGCGUUUCUUUUUUGGGCAUCGUAAAAGUAAACAUAGAAAACUUGGCGCUUUGACGGGUUUUCGAAACUAAAAAAGCUAAGUGAAAAGUAGGUUGUUUUUGACCAGCUUUUCAACGAAAAAACAAACAAAAACUAAGUAUGUAGAAAGCUUUUUAGCUGCUUGUUUGGACCCGAGUUCGAUUCUCGGCGUCUCCACAA